Molecule: ribosomal RNA, 279 nt
Filed under: Triticum aestivum (bread wheat)
Lineage: Eukaryota; Viridiplantae; Streptophyta; Magnoliopsida; Poales; Poaceae
Description: partial small subunit ribosomal RNA
Source: RNAcentral
AUGUUUCAACAAAUUCAUGUAGGAUCCGAUAAUGACACCUUGGAGGAUGACGAGGAAGCGAUCACGUCGUCUGCUAUACCUAUCAAGGUUGAUCCAUUAGACUUUGUCUACACAAACAUCCCAGACAACACACACAUCCUGAAGCUCGACGCAAACUGCGAACACUGCCAGGGUUUCUGCUGUCGCAAUGGUCAAAUCGAACUUAAACAACCGGAACCAAUCCCAGAGCUGAUGAGGCUAUGGUCAAGCAUGGAUGCAGACUCUAGACAUUUUCGGGAG